Molecule: RNA transcript, 2882 nt
Organism: Populus nigra (black poplar)
Lineage: Eukaryota; Viridiplantae; Streptophyta; Magnoliopsida; Malpighiales; Salicaceae
Gene name: serine/threonine-protein kinase ATG1c
Exons: 15
Source: RefSeq, a predicted model, not a curated record
UUUAUUUUUGAUAUUAUAUUGAUUUAAAAAUAUAAAUUAAUUUUCUUUUUUAAAUCUGUUGUAAAGUAAUGCCAAAAAGUGCCUUAACCCCAAUGUAACUCGACGGAUCCUUUCAAAUCAUUAAACAUGCUUUCAUUGUUAUUGUUAUUAUUAGUAUUAUUAUUUACUAAAAUAAAACACUCUGCAGCAAGCAAGCGAAGCUCGAACUUGAUUUCCUGGAGCCAAAAUCAGGUUUGGAUCCUAGCUAUAGGGUUCUUAAAAAAAAGAAGGUAUUAUGGCUCAGGCUUCAGGGAGGAGCGGCAGGGUUGUUGGAGACUACUUGGUGGGUAGACAAAUCGGGUCGGGCUCUUUCUCGGUGGUUUGGCACGCUAGACACCGAGUCCUUGGAACCGAAGUAGCGAUAAAAGAGAUCGUUACGAAUCGACUUAAUAAGAAAUUACAAGAAAGUCUCAUGUCUGAGAUUUUUAUUUUGAAGAGGAUCAAUCAUCCAAAUAUCAUUCGCUUGCACGAUAUUAUUAAGGUUCCGGGGAGAAUACUUAUAGUAUUGGAGUAUUGCGAGGGUGGUGAUCUGUCUAUGUAUAUCCAACGCCAUGGGAAAGUUCCAGAAGCAAUUGCUAAGCACUUCAUGCAACAAUUAGGUGCUGGUUUGCAAAUUCUCCGGGACAAUAAUUUGAUUCAUCGGGAUCUUAAGCCGCAGAAUCUCCUUCUCUCCACGAGUGACAAUAAUGCGGUUCUGAAAAUUGCAGACUUUGGAUUUGCCAGAUCUCUACAACCUCGAGGCCUUGCAGAAACCUUGUGUGGCUCACCCCUCUACAUGGCUCCAGAGAUAAUGCAACUUCAGAAGUAUGAUGCAAAGGCAGAUCUCUGGAGUGUUGGUGCCAUUUUAUUUCAGCUUGUGACAGGAAAAACCCCAUACACUGGAAACAAUCAAAUACAGUUGCUCCAGAACAUUGUGAAAUCAGCUGAAUUGCAAUUUCCUUUCGAUAAUAAGGAUUUGAGUGCUGGCUGCAAAGAUUUAUGCCGGAAAUUGCUAUGUCGCAAUCCAGUGGAACGGCUAACCUUUGAGGAGUUCUUUAAUCACCCAUUUCUUUCUCAAAGGAAAAAAGACGAAUUAUUGAGGUCUUCAAGGUCAGUAGAUGGCUUUCCUUUCACUGGAAGCAGUCCUGCAAGGAAUGCUGAUGACAAUUCUCAGGAGGAUUGCCUGCCUUUCCUUCUGGAUGAUGAUUCUAGUUGUCCUGAGGGUAGCCCUUCUGUUUCUAAGAGGAUGUCCCCAAUGAAGUCUACAUAUGGAUUUUCUCUUGAUUCAAGAAUUGGAGGGAGGGAUGCAACAUCUAAUGUUUUUAAUAAUGUGGAUCUUACUUCCAGAUAUAGUAGUGCCAGACAGAACUUAGAAAAUGCUAGUUUUAGGCCUGGCAUCAAUAAAGCAUCAGAUGAAAAUAUAAAUGAACCUCCAAAAUCCAUAGACCAGAGAUCAGUGAACAUCCGAUCAAGAGUUGUGGAUUCACUGGAUUUGAUAGAUCAAGAUUAUGUUCUUGUUUCUGGACCCCCUUUGAAUGUGUCAUCUUCCACAGCAAGUACUUACAAACCAGGCAAUGCACCAUACAAGUCAGAGGGUCCCUCUCAAGCAUUUACCUACACAAACACUAGGCUAAGUAUCCCGGUGCCCAUAAUUGACACUGCCAACAAUAAUCCUUGCCGCUUUGGAAGCUUGGAAAUUCCGGCCUCUGCUCCUGGGACUUCUGAAGGAUCUUUGGAUAUGGGAGAUGCUUUGGAGCAGCCAUCAACUCACUGCAUGACUAGGAUUAAGUCAUUGCAGCAUUGUGCAUCUGCCAUAAUGGAACUAGUGGUGGAAAAGAUUGAGGCAGGUAGGCAACUAGAAGCAUUUUCGAUCCAACUUGUUAUUCUUGCGAUUUGGAAGCAAGUACUGCACAUCUGCCAUACUCAGGCUGCCUCAGCUAUCGAAGGAAGUCCAAGCCAAGAGAGCUCAAGACUGAGGAAAAGCAGCAGCAGGAAGCAUGGGAACCCUGAUACAGAAGAUUGUCCUGAUGUUGGGCCAGAGAAUAUGUCCACUCAGAUUGAGGCGGAAUUUUUACAGGAAGUUGAGCGGGCAGAGGAACUUGCCAAGGCUAUCGAAACUGGAAGUACGGAGAUGCCUGAUGCAAUGGAGAUGAUAUUUCAAUCUGCCCUUUCUCUGGGAAGACAUGGAGGGGUUGACGAGCUCAUGGGGAAUAUGGAAAAUGCAGCUUUGCUAUAUUCAAGAGCAGGAUGUUUGUUAGUUUUCCUUCUAGUGGAAGCACCAUCUCUUUUUCUCAAUCCUCCAUUUUCUCUCACGAACUCGGAUCGGUAUAGGCUCCGCAGUUACAUAGAUAUCCUUAAUAACAGGCAAGACCAUUCACGAUCCCAAAGGAUGGCACUUCUCAAAUGCGAGGAUCAACGAUGCUCACCAUAGGGUUCGUGAUUUGCAGGAGUUGUGAGAAGGUGGGUGGAUCUAUGAUAUUUUGGAUAGUGUUGGGUUGUAUACUACAUUUUAAGUUUAAACUUUUGCUUACAUACCGUUUGAGUGGCGAUUUUCUGUUUAGCAUCCCCAUGAAACACCGCUUGGGCAGGGUAGCAGGCUUUGUCUGUUUAGGACAUAUUUUGAAAUGCCUUUAUGGAAUUAUGCUAGUAUGGCCAAAGAAAAUUUUAACGGAUAUAUCCUCAUAUCAAUUAGAUCCAGGAAAAAGGUUUCAAUAGUUGAGAUAACAUUUGCCCAUGUAUGAUAUCAUUUUCUUAACUCGGCCCCAUUGGAAUUUAUUGUUCAAUGUUUGGAUUAAACGUGGCAAAUCUGUGUGAUGAAUGGUUUUAAUUUGAAAGAUGAAUGAAUUUGGAUGUUUUUCUCGUAA